UACGUAGGGGGCGAGCGUUGUCCGAAGUUACUGGGCGUAAAGCGCGCGUAGGCGGGUCGUUAAGUGGGCAGUGAAAGGCUGGGGCUCAACUCCAGCAGUGCCUCUCAUACUGGCAGUCUUGAGGGCGGUAGAGAGAAGUGGAAUGGCUGGUGUAGCGGUGAAAUGCGUAGAUAUCGGGAGGAACAUCAGUGGCGAAGGCGGCUGCCUGGCCCAAUACUGACACUCAGGUGCGACAGCGUGGGGAGCAAACAGG
This 253-nucleotide ribosomal RNA is filed under the name uncultured bacterium. Its description in RNAcentral is "partial 16S ribosomal RNA". It matches the Rfam family "Bacterial small subunit ribosomal RNA", at positions 524 to 776 of the family's 1533-position model. The record is from RNAcentral.